Molecule: long non-coding RNA, 221 nt
Organism: Sinocyclocheilus anshuiensis
Lineage: Eukaryota; Metazoa; Chordata; Actinopteri; Cypriniformes; Cyprinidae
Exons: 3
Source: RefSeq, a predicted model, not a curated record
CGACCUACCAGUUGAAGCACCAGCACCAUAAAGGUCCAGUAUGUAUGAUAUGGAAUCAUAUGCACCAUCAUAAGUGGCCUCAUCUGCCCAUGCUGCUCAAGAUGUCCUGGGACAACGGUACUCUAAGGAACGUGUGGCUGUCUGUCAUCGGGGCGUCGCUUGGCUCUAUCUGGGUCUUUCAGGCCUAUCACAUCUCUUCCUUUUAAUAACCCUCCACACAC